Molecule: ribosomal RNA, 253 nt
Filed under: uncultured bacterium
Lineage: Bacteria
Description: partial 16S ribosomal RNA
Rfam family: Bacterial small subunit ribosomal RNA
Source: RNAcentral
UACGUAGGGUGCAAGCGUUGUCCGGAAUUAUUGGGCGUAAAGAGCUCGUAGGUGGCUUGUCGCGUCUGCCGUGAAAGCCCGUGGCUUAACUACGGGUCUGCGGUGGAUACGGGCAGGCUAGAGGCUGGUAGGGGCAAGCGGAAUUCCUGGUGUAGCGGUGAAAUGCGCAGAUAUCAGGAGGAACACCGGUGGCGAAGGCGGCUUGCUGGGCCAGUUCUGACGCUGAGGAGCGAAAGCGUGGGGAGCGAACAGG